GUCGCGGUAAUACGUAAGAGACGAGUGUUAUUCAUCUUUAAUCGGUUUAAAGGGUACCUAGACGGAAAAUCAAGCUUAGUUAAAAUAAGGACUAGUUUUCUAGAGUUUGACACGAGAAGGUAUGAACUAUCAGAGUAGAGAUAAAAUUUGUCGAUACUGGUGGGACGGACAACGGCGAAGGCAAUCUUCUACUAAAAACUGACGUUGAGGGACGAAGCCUAGGGGAGCGAGAAGGAUUUGAUACCCUAGUAGUCCUAGGAGAAAAUUAUGAGUGCCAUAGACUUAUGUGAAAAAAAAACAAAUCUGUGUAUUUAAAAAAUAUAGGCAAAUAUAAAACAAAUCUGUUUUAUAUUUAAAAAAUAUUCGCAAAAUUAGAUUUCUGUGGGUUUAAAAUAGCGGUUUCAGAUUAUUCUGGGAUAUGAUGAGAAAAAAAUUUGUUUUUUCCAAAUAAUAUUUUAAUUUGUUAAUAGUAGCGGUCUAUAAAUGAAAGUGUAAGCAUUCCACCUCAUGACUAAAGCGGCAACGCCCAAAUUGAAAUCAUUAGACCGUUUCUGAAACCAGUAGUGAAGUAUGUUAUUUAAUUCGAUGACCCGCGAAUAACCUUACCACGUUUUGAAUUUUUAAACAAGUGUUGCACGGCUGUCUUCAGUUAAUGUC
Molecule: ribosomal RNA, 657 nt
Filed under: Melanina gundecimermaniae
Lineage: Eukaryota; Fungi; Ascomycota; Eurotiomycetes; Chaetothyriales
Description: partial small subunit ribosomal RNA
Rfam family: Bacterial small subunit ribosomal RNA
Source: RNAcentral